RNAcentral lists this unclassified non-coding RNA (171 nucleotides) under uncultured Diaporthales. RNAcentral's name for it is "sequence contains ITS1". The record is from RNAcentral. Lineage: Eukaryota; Fungi; Ascomycota; Sordariomycetes; Diaporthales.
CAAAGAGAGUUGAGAAACUCCCUAAACCCCCUGUGAACCUUACCACUAUUUUCCUUCGGCAGGCGGCCCCAGGGCGGGGCCAUGGUCUGCCAGCGGCGCAGGCGCCUGCCGAAGAACACCUUUAAACUCUGUUAUGAUUGUUCAUCUGAAUUCAUGACAAAAAAAAAAUCA